UAAACCAGUUACCUACAGCUGAUGAGCUCCAAGAAGAGUGAAACCAGUUCAGUUCUGUUUUAGCAGUUAUGAAGCAUAAGGACUGGUCCUGUAGUACUGUCCAGCAUCA
RNAcentral lists this non-coding RNA (109 nucleotides) under Buceros rhinoceros silvestris. The record is from RNAcentral. Lineage: Eukaryota; Metazoa; Chordata; Aves; Bucerotiformes; Bucerotidae.